Molecule: transfer-messenger RNA, 351 nt
Filed under: Actinomycetota (actinobacteria)
Lineage: Bacteria; Bacillati
Also listed under: 1 other name
Description: SURF-47 sp003599235 Standard tmRNA
Rfam family: transfer-messenger RNA
About the family: Bacterial tmRNA, also known as 10Sa RNA or SsrA, is named for its dual tRNA and mRNA-like properties.
Source: RNAcentral
GGGGGUGUAUUAGGUUUCGACUUGGAUAAUAACCAUAGGAGAAGCGAGUCGAGGUCCCCGCAGUCCUCGUAAAAUAAGUGGGAAACUAAUGUAACUGCUGAACCAGUUGCACUUGCUGCUUAAUAUAAAGUAGCCGUCUACCAGGGACUCGCCUGCGGUUUCUGGAUAGGCGCCGAUUAGUAGGCUACCUGCCUGGGAUGUCUAUACCAGAAAGGGAAUCUUUAUAGGCUGGCCGGUUGGGUUUAUUUGCUUAUGAUUGCCCAGUUGGCGAGACUUUUUCAUAAGCUACACUCGUAGAAGGCUUAUGGAGUUAUCUCAAGGACGUGGGUUCGAUUCCCACCACCUCCACCA